This 66-nucleotide transfer RNA is filed under the name fish gut metagenome. It matches the Rfam family "tRNA". From Rfam's summary of the family: Transfer RNA (tRNA) molecules are approximately 80 nucleotides in length. Their secondary structure includes four short double-helical elements and three loops (D, anti-codon, and T loops). The record is from RNAcentral.
GAGAUAGCUCAGUCGGUAGAGCAAGUGACUGUUAAUCACUGGGUCGCAGGUUCGAGUCCUGUUCUC